Ostrea edulis (European flat oyster) is the source of this 777-nucleotide long non-coding RNA. RefSeq lists it as uncharacterized. The record is from RefSeq and is a predicted model, not a curated record. The transcript has 3 exons. Lineage: Eukaryota; Metazoa; Mollusca; Bivalvia; Ostreida; Ostreidae.
UCACCCAGACGCUUGUUUUUAUUAGAUGUGCGUACGAACGAGUCGAUACAUCUUGAUGAUCAAGACUAUUCAAAUUGACGCGCGCUACCAAUUCGAAGUAGAGAAAAUUUCAAGAGAAAGCCAGCAUGUCGAGAAGAAGAGUUAUACUCCCAGGGAGAUUUGCCGACGAAAACAGGUGGUAUGUGAUACGAUUCUCGCAGACAAAUUAGAGGAGACAGGGGAAACGAGGGAGGAGAAAGUCCAAGCACCUUAGACAGAUGGUGUCAUGUAUCAUAUGGAGAGAUUGAAUUUGAAAGUGCAUUUGCCAUUACAACAUUGGGGAUGGACAACAUAGACAUUCAUGAUUGUGAAAGCUAUAAAUACAAAGACUGGAACCAUGUACUGUGCUGUUAAAGAAAAUAGACUAUCUAAGUAGACGUCCAGUGCAUUAUUUCAUUUAAUUCAAAAGUCAACAUUGUGUAAUUUUUUUCAUGGAUGACAUUGAUUAUUUGAUCUGAAUUUGCAAAAAUUGGAUUGAGUGGGAAUAAGUGCUGUGAUUUCAAAUGAAAGCCAUGAUAGACACAUUGCUUUUUCAUCCAGAUGUAAGUAAAAUCAUAAAUGCAUGUUUUCAAUUCAUAUAUUGAAAAUUCAGUUUAUUGGAAAUGACUGACUUGUGGGUAAUUAUUAUUAUUAUUUUUUUAUAAUUAAAAAACUUAUAUUAUUGGGAACAGUAUAAAUCUAUGGCCAAUUCUCUAAAUUUGAUGUGUUUUUUAUGCAUAUUAAAUCAAUAUAAAUUGA